CUUUAAUUGCCAUCAUUUAGUUGGGCACUUUAAAGAGACUGCCGGUGUUAAGCCGGAGGAAGGUGGGGAUGACGUCAAGUCCUCAUGGCCUUUAUGCCCAGGGCUACACACGUGCUACAAUGGGCGGUACAAAGAGAAGCAACCUCGCGAGGGUGAGCAAAUCUCAAAAAGCCGUUCUCAGUUCGGAUUGAAGUCUGCAACUCGACUUCAUGAAGUCGGAAUCGCUAGUAAUCGCGGAUCAGCAUGCCGCGGUGAAUACGUUCCCGGGCCUU
Molecule: ribosomal RNA, 272 nt
Filed under: uncultured Syntrophaceae bacterium
Lineage: Bacteria; Pseudomonadati; Thermodesulfobacteriota; Syntrophia; Syntrophales; Syntrophaceae
Description: partial 16S ribosomal RNA
Rfam family: Bacterial small subunit ribosomal RNA
Source: RNAcentral